CCUACGGGCGGCAGCAGUAGGGAAUAUUGCUCAAUGGGGGAAACCCUGAAGCAGCAACGCCGCGUGGAGGAUGAAGGUUUUCGGAUUGUAAACUCCUUUUGUUAGAGAAGAUAAUGACGGUAUCUAACGAAUAAGCACCGGCUAACUCCGUACCAGCAGCCGCGGUAAUACGAAGGGUGCAAGCGUUACUCGGAAUCACUGGGCGUAAAGAGCGUGUAGGCGGGAUAGCAAGUCAGAUGUGAAAUCCUAUGGCUUAACCAUAGAACUGCAUUUGAAACUGUUAUUCUAGAGUUUGGGAGAGGUAGGUGGAAUUCUUGGUGUAGGGGUAGAAUCCGUAGAGAUAAAGAAGAAUACUCGUGGCGAAGGCGACCUGCUAGGACAUAACUGACGCUGAUGCGCGAAAGCGUGGGGAGCAAACAGGAUUAGAUACCCGAGUAGUC
Molecule: ribosomal RNA, 440 nt
Filed under: uncultured bacterium
Lineage: Bacteria
Description: partial 16S ribosomal RNA
Rfam family: Bacterial small subunit ribosomal RNA
Source: RNAcentral